Molecule: ribosomal RNA, 301 nt
Filed under: uncultured bacterium
Lineage: Bacteria
Description: partial 16S ribosomal RNA
Rfam family: Bacterial small subunit ribosomal RNA
Source: RNAcentral
CAGCCGCCGCGGGAAAACGUAGGGUGCGAGCGCUAAUCGGAAUUACUGGGCGUAAAGCGUGCGCAGGCGGUUCGUUAAGACAGAUGUGAAAUCCCCGGGCUUAACCUGGGAACUGCAUUUGUGACUGGCGAGCUAGAGUAUGGCAGAGGGGGGUGGAAUUCCACGUGUAGCAGUGAAAUGCGUAGAGAUGUGGAGGAAUACCGAUGGCGAAGGCAGCCCCCUGGGCCAAUACUGACGCUCAUGCACGAAAGCGUGGGGAGCAAACAGGAUUAGAUACCCCCGUAGUCCCUGUCUCUUAUAC